CAAUUGCAUACUACAAAAAUGGCAAAGGCGAAUGCAGUUUUCCAUGCAAGGAUGUGUUCCCCGGCAAAGUCAUCCUCAGUGAAUGUCCCGAUGUCACAUUAACUACUGGUUGCAUCACCAAGGAUGGGGUAUAUGAAGAGACCAUGCUGUACUUCUCAGUGAUAAGCAGACAAACUGUCUCUAUGACAACCACUAAC
Molecule: long non-coding RNA, 197 nt
Organism: Coregonus clupeaformis (lake whitefish)
Lineage: Eukaryota; Metazoa; Chordata; Actinopteri; Salmoniformes; Salmonidae
Exons: 3
Source: RefSeq, a predicted model, not a curated record